AAACAAACUCAAAGUACAACGUGGGAUGGGCGGAGCGGGGAGCAGAGCUGGCUCUCGGCAGGAUGGACGCACCAGCAAUCUUCACGGAGGCGGAUUUUUACCAGCAGAAUUUCGACCCUCAGGCAUAUCUGAAAGAAUAUUACAGCAUGAGUGACAGCCGGGAAGGGGCAAAUGUGUUUCUGACGCAAAACUUGAAGAGCCUGCACAAAAUGUUCUCCUUAGAUGAGCUGAGAGGUGGCACCCUGAUAGAUGUCGGCUGUGGCCCCACCAUCUACCAGCUUCUGUCUGCUUGUGAGCGCUUCCAGGAGAUUAUAGCCCUGGACUACACCGACCAGAACCGCCGGGAGCUGGAGAGGUGGCUGAGGAACGAAGCAGGAGCCUUUGACUGGGUGCCAGUGGUGAAAUACGUCUGUGAGCUGGAAGGGGACAGGGAGAAGUGGGCUGAGAAACAGGAGAAAGUGAGGAAGAAGGUGAAGCAGGUUCUGAAGUGUGACGUGACCAGAGCCAACCCCACGGGCGCUGUGUCCCUGCCACCAGCCGACUGCAUUGUCUCCACCCUGUGCCUGGAGGGCGCCUGCAAGGACCUGCCCACCUUCCACAGCGCCCUGAGGAACAUCGGGACCCUCGUGAAGCCGGGGGGGCACCUGGUGCUGGUGACCGUCCUCGGGGAAACCUACUAUGCCUUCAACAAGCAGGUUUUCUCGUGCCUCCGCCUGGAGAAACACGAGGUGGAGGCGGCUGUGGAGGCUGCUGGCUUUGAGGUGACGUUCAGCGAGGCGCAGCCGUACACGGCCUGAGCCCGGCAGGACCUGCACGUGGAACGAGCCCUGAUGGCACACGAGCGUCACACGCUCCCAGCCGAGCCUGAGGGGAGCCGGGGAGGGGAAAGAAGGCACAGCAAGGCAAACGAGGCUCCAGGGAAAUUAAGGCAAAGUGGAAGUCCUGGCAAAGCGAGGUGCGGUGGCGAGUAAUGGGGUGGAGAGAAUGAACGGCACCCAAUUAACAGGGAAAGCAGAGCUGUGCUGGGACCUAAUGAGAAAUGAAGGCUCAACUGCCCCCUCUCGAAAUUCCUCCAGAUGGAAAACACCCGUUUUACAUCCCGUGUCUUCUGGGAUUCCCAGGGGAUUACAGUGGCUGGGGAGAUUCAACGGCAGGGGCAGGGGAACCGCUUUCCAAAGUCCUUGGAGAAGUGAAGUCGCAGGGAAGGGCGCUCUGACGGGAUCCAGCCACGGGAGCAGCUGGGCUCGGAGGGAGAGAGGGGUCGGGAGCCCCAGGAGGGGACACCCAGUGUAUCACCGCAGCCCUCCCGGGAUUCAGGGCCUCGGCGGUUUCCCGGUCUCCAAACAGCCCGUUUGGGGGUUUUUAACCUGCGCCCCGGGUUUUAACCGGCUGGCUCCG
RNA transcript from Manacus vitellinus (golden-collared manakin), 1398 nucleotides. It is a transcript of the gene named nicotinamide N-methyltransferase, with no coding region annotated. The transcript is spliced from 5 exons. NCBI's taxonomy places the organism in Eukaryota, Metazoa, Chordata, Aves, Passeriformes, Pipridae. The record is from RefSeq and is a predicted model, not a curated record.